CACAUGCAAGUCGAGCGGUAGAGAGGUGCUUGCAUCUCUUGAGAGCGGCGGACGGGUGAGUAAUGCCUAGGAAUCUGCCUGGUGGUGGGAUAACGUUCGGAAACGGACGCUAAUACCGCAUACGUCCUACGGGAGAAAGCGGGGGAUCUUCGGACCUCGCGCCAUUAGAUGAGCCUAGGUCGGAUUAGCUAGUUGGUGAGGUAAUGGCUCACCAAGGCGACGAUCCGUAACUGGUCUGAGAGGAUGAUCAGCCACACUGGGACUGAGACACGGCCCAGACUCCUACGGGAGGCAGCAGUGGGGAAUAUUGGACAAUGGGCGAAAGCCUGAUCCAGCAAUGCCGCGUGAGUGAUGAAGGCCUUCGGGUUGUAAAGCUCUUUUACUCGGGACGAUAAUGACGGUACCGAGAGAAUAAGCCCCGGCUAACUCCGUG
RNAcentral lists this ribosomal RNA (433 nucleotides) under uncultured bacterium. RNAcentral describes it as "bacterial SSU rRNA". It matches the Rfam family "Bacterial small subunit ribosomal RNA", at positions 52 to 507 of the family's 1533-position model. The record is from RNAcentral.